Molecule: ribosomal RNA, 676 nt
Filed under: Hymenogaster intermedius
Lineage: Eukaryota; Fungi; Basidiomycota; Agaricomycetes; Agaricales; Hymenogastraceae
Description: eukaryotic LSU rRNA
Rfam family: 5.8S ribosomal RNA (bases 279-432)
Source: RNAcentral
AGGUUUCCGUAGGUGAACCUGCGGAAGGAUCAUUAUUGAAUGAACUUGGUGUGGUUGUUGCUGGUCCUCUCCGGGGGGCAUGUGCACACCCACCAUCCUCAUCUCCCCACCUGUGCACCUUUUGUAGACUUGGAUAGACUUUCCGAGGCAACUCGGUCGGAGGAAUGCUGCCCUCUUUGGGUCAGCUUUCUUUGCAUUACCAAGCCUACGUUUUUUUAUAUACCCCAUAGUAUGUAACAGAAUGUAAAAUUGGGCCCCAGUGCCUAUAAACCUUAUACAACUUUCAGCAACGGAUCUCUUGGCUCUCGCAUCGAUGAAGAACGCAGCGAAAUGCGAUAAGUAAUGUGAAUUGCAGAAUUCAGUGAAUCAUCGAAUCUUUGAACGCACCUUGCGCUCCUUGGUAUUCCGAGGAGCAUGCCUGUUUGAGUGUCAUAAAAUUCUCAACCUUUAUUAGCUUUUGCUGAUUAAUGGCUUGGAUGUGGGGGUUCUCUUUUGCCGGCUUCUUCAGAGGUCAGCUCCCCUUAAAUGCAUUAGCUGGUGCCCCGCGUGGACUGUCUAUUUGGUGUGAUAAUUAUCUACGCCGUGGAUAUCUGCAAUGGGUUGUGCACUGCUUAUAACCGUCUGUUCAUUUGGACAAUACAUGACAAUUUGACCUCAAAUCAGGUAGGACUACCCG